RNAcentral lists this long non-coding RNA (1449 nucleotides) under Betta splendens (Siamese fighting fish). Its description in RNAcentral is "lncRNA (ENSBSLG00000011116.1)". Lineage: Eukaryota; Metazoa; Chordata; Actinopteri; Anabantiformes; Osphronemidae. The record is from RNAcentral.
AGCAUGCUUCCUGUUUACUCAACAGCUGGCUAAUCAGCUUACACCGAGAAAACGACUGUAACCUGGUGACUUAAGUGCAUGAAGACGCACUUAAUCAUGAAUUCCUGAAAGGUUGUUUCGGUGGUUCCUGUUACAUUUUAAAACACUUAGGACUCAAGGCUUCUAAUAUUUGCUAUUCUAUCCAAACAUAAACAGAUACAGAACAACUCACAAUUAUAACGUAGAAGGUUAAUAAAUGUCUUCUCUUUAACUUAUGGUGCCCUGGAGGUGGAUGGAUGAAUUCCACGAGAGAAUGGCUCAGCAGGAUGAACACAGCACUGCUGUUCUGUGCUGGAGGCUGGAGCAGUGAGGGCAACAGGGAGAGCAAAGGCUUUGAGGGAGCACCGGGAUCUGGGGAAUGCGAGCGUCCGCCUCGCUUUUCUUGGCACGUCGCGAGUGACACUGACUGACGGACGGCGCCUCUGGGAGACGACCAGAGGGUGUGAACCGGUGAGUGUCGGCGUAUGUGACUGCAUCCGUCUCGGCGUGCGUCUCUGGUGACAAAAGCCCAGAUGUGUACGUGAGUGACAGGGCACUCGUGUCCAUCACAGCGGCCCAUUGCUGUACGUGUUAGCGGGGCCCUAGCUCAUAUCCUCUGCAAACAGCUACUACUGUGUGAAUGCAGGGUUAACGGUGCCUGUGUGCUUAUCGCACACAGCCAUCUCACAAUGACAUCAGCCUCGAUGCGCCGUUCAGGAUCUAGAUUUGUCUGCUAACCAGGACAAGUAGAAACAUUUCAUAACGGUGGGAGAAUCCACAUCCAUUCAUGUGGUUUGAGUUGUGAUUACGGUUUCCUCGCAGAUUGAUACGCUCACGCUGACAGACGACCCGGCCGAGGGUGUUGGGCUUUGUUGCUGGGCCAAGGCGCUCAGGUGAGCAUUCCCGCCCAGACAUAAACAGAUCGUUAACAAUACAGACGCAGACACAACACAGCAGACGCAGAUCAGAGACAGGGCCGCGAAAGCGAACCCGCGGAGUCGGCCGGCGCAGACACAUGCGCACGCAUACUGCAACAUGACGGAACUGUUGCCCUAAUAUAAAACACACAUCUCAGGCUACUAGCGGCGUAAUUGGCUCCAUAUAGCUAUAGAUUAUAGACUUGCCUUGAAAGCUUUUCGCUGGAGGCUCAGCUUUUCGGCUUCACUAAUCAUUUCUUAGCAAACACAUGCAGAUGUUAAAGGUUAGUGCAUAAUUACAGUCAUGGGACGGUAGAGAAAGCUGCACGUCGCAGCAGCCUCAGAGGCUCAUUUGGGCUUCUGUUAGAACUGACAGUCACUGUUAAUAUUACUAGCAUGGAAGAAUACUUUUCAGCUAAUUAGGUUAAUUGGCAACAGGUCAGUUCCAUGACUGGAUAUAAAAAAGGAGCAUCUUGGAUAGUCGGCGUCUCCCGGAGGUAAAGACAGGUUCAUC